GGUGGCUCCAUGGUAGAGUGCUUGCCUUGCAUGCAAGAGGCCCUGGGUUCAAUUCCUCAGCACCA
This 65-nucleotide transfer RNA is filed under the name Dipodomys ordii (Ord's kangaroo rat). It matches the Rfam family "tRNA". Rfam says of the family: Transfer RNA (tRNA) molecules are approximately 80 nucleotides in length. The record is from Rfam by way of RNAcentral. Lineage: Eukaryota; Metazoa; Chordata; Mammalia; Rodentia; Heteromyidae.